CCCCUUGAGGAUUCCGAUGUUGUCUCCUACAUCCUUGACGGACUCGGUGCUGACUAUGAUCCUCUAGUCACUUCGAUUACAACUCGAUCUGACCCGUUUUCCUUGAUUGAUUUGUAUGGUUUUCUUUUAUCCUAUGAGC
Non-coding RNA from Corylus avellana, 139 nucleotides. The record is from RefSeq and is a predicted model, not a curated record. NCBI's taxonomy places the organism in Eukaryota, Viridiplantae, Streptophyta, Magnoliopsida, Fagales, Betulaceae.